UUCCUGUAGAGAAUUGAAGACAAAGAUACAAGGACAAAUCUGUUCAUUCGAAAAAUAUUUGGAGUGCGAUAAAAGUCAUGUCACAGCUAGAAUGUCUCUUCACACAUUCUCCUGGGAAGACAUUAAAGAAUGUACAAGCUGUGGAAAUAGGCUGGAUUUCUUCAUUUCAGAUGUAAAAUGAAGAUAUGAGGAACCCCAACUGUUGGCAGUGUCUGCUCCUGG
This is a non-coding RNA of Vicugna pacos (alpaca), 222 nucleotides long. NCBI's taxonomy places the organism in Eukaryota, Metazoa, Chordata, Mammalia, Artiodactyla, Camelidae. The record is from RefSeq and is a predicted model, not a curated record.